Malania oleifera is the source of this 2408-nucleotide long non-coding RNA. RefSeq lists it as uncharacterized. The transcript has 2 exons. The record is from RefSeq and is a predicted model, not a curated record. Lineage: Eukaryota; Viridiplantae; Streptophyta; Magnoliopsida; Santalales; Ximeniaceae.
UUCUCUCAUGUUCUCCUUAUCCUCUCUCUUCCCUGUUCUUCCUUGCGAGUGAAACCCUAGGGUUUCUUCUGCAACUCGCCCUACUAUCUUUCUUCUUUCACCUUCUCUGUAUCUUUUUCUCACUCUGUCUCUCUUUCUGUUUCUUUAUAGAUGAACCCUAUGCCCUCUCACUCUUUCCAACCAAGAACCCUCCAGUAGUUCUAAGCUUUCCUGAAUCUCCAAGCUUUCUACAAUCCAAAUACCUAGACUCCUUAAACUGAAACCCUAAUCUUCUUCCAUCUCCUUUCCUCAUAGCCUCAAAUUUUUUGAAAAUCUACCACCCCUACAGAGACCUGCCUCCCUAUGAUUGGGGGUUUUAAGUAUCCUCCUGAUAUCAUGAAGUUUCAUACACAUUCAGCAAGCUGGGUCUGGCGAUUGGAGCAUCAGGGGAGCAACCGAGUUCAAAACCCAAAUAGUGGGUUUAGACCAAAGCUUGGAUGGAAAGCUAAGUAUUCCUCUCAUCUCCCUUCUGUUUCCCUUGUUUUAAGACCAUUUUUUGGAUUCUUGGUGUGUGAUUUGAUGAGUUGUGAUGACGAUUUGAAUAUUGUAUGUUUUGGGGGUAUUGGUUUGUUAGAGUCUAGUUGCAGGUCUGAGACGAGGACGUGUUGGACUCGUCCUCGACUCAGUGAGUGAGGUUGUGUUAAACUGGUGUUGACUCAUGUGAUUCAACUCAGGGUGAGCAGUGUGAGUCAAACCAGGGCUGUGUGAACUCGGGAAGUUAUGAACUCCUGUGAUCCCGAGUAGGUCAAGCACGUGUGACUAAACACGUGCAGGUAUAGGGUUAGAAAGUCUUUGUGAGCUUGGUUAAAUAUUCGAUGGGCCUGUUUUUAGGUCUUCAAAGUUGGAACGGGCCUCAUUUAAAAAGUUGGGCCUUUGGGUAUUUUCAAAAGUUGGUAUGGGCUUAGUUUUAAAAAUAAAAAUGGUGGGCUUGUUUUAAAAUCGUGUUAAUGGGCUCGGGUUAAAAAUGAAAGCUUGGGUCUAGGGAUUUUCAAAAAUGGGCUUGAGUUAUACAAGAAAAGAGGCUAGCCCAAGGUUAAUUUAAAAUGGGCUUGAGAUAGGAUUUUAAAACGGGCUUCGGGUUUUAAAAGCAUACAAGCCUAGGGGUUUAAAAGGCAAGUGUGCUUGGUUUUAAGAUUAAAGUGUGCUUGGGGUUUUUUUUAAAAUGGGCUACGGGUUAAAGUUUAAAAAUGGGUUGUGGGUCAAGAUUUAAAAAUGGGUUGUGGGUCAAGGUUUAAAAUGGGGUUGGGGCUUGGUCUGAAGGGUUUGAACCCGAGUUUGGGUUCAAGUUUGGGUUAAAGUCUAAGGGGCUAAAUGGGUCAAGGGUUUUGGGUUAGAGGAACUCAGAACUUGGGUCGGGUCUCGGGUUCAAGUUGGGUGUUCAGGUCUGAGCUCAGGUUCAAGAACCUAAGAAAGGAGGAAGUACCUGCACUCACAGUUCACAUAUAAUACACUUCACAAUUUGAUUUAGGGAAUGGAUAAGGGAUUUACCUAAAAUCUCUCACUCCUCUGGUCUUCUUUUCCAAUCUUUGUGUGUGUGUCUGGUUUGGUGUGUCUAGGGGUUCACAAACUAAAAUCAAGUUCGGGUCAAGCUCUCCUUCGGUUUGUGAUGCCUUUCUUUCUGAAUCCUUCCUGCUUCUGCAGGAUUUCUUUAAUUCCAAUCGCACUAGUACUUCCUACAGAGUUUCUCUUCAAUUCUCUCUUUUUGACUCUAUUUCUGCAGAGUGUUACUAUGCUCUCUGAUCCUCUUUUCUUUCUAUCGAUUUGCGUAGAGUAAUUCUACGCUCAAAGGGGUGUCCUGCUACAGUGCCAGUACUCCCUAUUUAUAGGGAGUCCAGGGGUUGCUUUUUACGCCAAUUCACUACUCUUCUAACCAAUUUCCCCCUAACGGACUGUUAGAAUGAAUUUUCACCUUUAUAGGUGUCAUUCCAACCUUGUGCAUGUGAAUUCCUAUUCCUAUUUUCCUGAAUUUCUCUUCUAACCACCUGAUUCCUUCUUCUACGCAACGGAUUUGUUGAGCCAGAUGGCAACACAGGGAUGGCGGGCAUUUUGGGGCUUUUAGAUGGCAGCAUAAGGUGAUUGGGGUAGUGUAAGGUGGCAGUGGGAGCAUGGCGAGCUUUUUGGAGUAUUCCAGCUUGGCAAGCCCGAAUUGGAGGAUGUGGCUCUUCAUUUUUUUAUUGUCCUUUUUUACUGUAAUUUCUGCAUGUACCCCCCAAAUUGCUAAUGGUGCAACUAUUAUUUGUACAGUUCCUUUGUAUGUACUUAUUUUUACUUUCCUGUAUUUCAAUACUUUAUUUUAUCUUGUAUGCUCCUUUUGUAUGCUUAAAUGCCUACGUGUGCUUGCGUACACACCGACUCCCUUUGCUGAACAA